CCCAAAAACAAAAUGGAUUCAAAAAAAGGAUUCAAUAUCCUAUCAACAAAAGUAAAGCGGAUUCAAAUAUUACUCAGAAUCCAAAAUUUAAUACCAACAACUUGAAUAACACAAGCCAUUUUACAACUUCAUUACAACUUCAAAAUUUCGCAGAAAUGUAUAAAUUGCAUGACUGCAUCAAGAAAAUCAAAAUUUAUCACUAAAAAGAAGAGAUGGGGGAAUCUUUGACUCUUGAGGCUCCUUGCAAAUUGCUUUCUGCAAAAUAAAC
RNAcentral lists this long non-coding RNA (268 nucleotides) under Gossypium raimondii (Peruvian cotton). Its description in RNAcentral is "long non-coding RNA (GRAI_LNC009242)". The record is from RNAcentral. Lineage: Eukaryota; Viridiplantae; Streptophyta; Magnoliopsida; Malvales; Malvaceae.